CCCCGAAUUGAUAAGGGGAAUCGGAAAGUACUCGAGGUCGCAGAUGUACCACAAGAGGGGCAUUUGGGCUAUCAAGGCCAAAAACGGUGGCGUUUUACCUCGCCACGACCCCAAACCCAAACCUGAAACUCCCACUGAAAAACCACCCAAAUUUUACCCCGCUGAUGAUGUCAAGAAACCCCUUGUCAACAAGCACAAACCCAAACCAGCUAAGCUCAGGUGCAUUAUCAAUCUCAUUCUCACUUGUUAUGUGUAAUGGAUUCUAAAAUUUGUGUUUUUAUUUGAUUUUAGUUUAGUUUGUGUAAUUGAUUUGAUUUGGAGUUUGAGAUGUUAGAAAGACAUGUCAUAGAAUGAUUGAAUAAUAUAAUAUGCUGAUACAAAGCUCAGGUUAAAUUUAUAACAAUAGAAGCUACUCGGUUUUAUAUGCACUAAUUAACUUAGUAAAAUGGUUUGGAAACUAACCAAUUCACUAACACGUAACUAAGUAGAAUCAGCAGUUCUAACUUUUAGUUUUAAUUAUAUCAAUUUAUUUUAUGUUAGUCUAGGUUAUUGGUAAAUGAUGGAAUGUAUUUGAGUAUUUUUUUCAAUAAAAUUUUUCUGGUUUGGUUAUGUUUUAUUUUUAUGUGGAACUUAUGGCAUGUGAUUCUGUUUUGUUUGUGUUUCAGGGCUAGCAUUACCCCCGGAACAGUGUUGAUUCUUCUUGCUGGUAGAUUUAAGGGAAAGAGGGUAGUGUUUUUGAAGCAGCUACCUUCUGGGUUGCUUCUUGUAACAGGUGAGUUUUGUUGUUAAACAUUAUUGCUGAGAUUGUGCAUGCUAAGCAUUUUGUUCAUUUGUCAUUGUAUUAAUAAAUUGAAUUUUUUAUUUUAUCCUGAUGAGUAAUAAUCAAUUAUUUCUCUUGUAUGUAAAAUGUUGCUUCUCUAUUAUUGCUUGGGUGUAUACUAGUGUUUCAUCUCGCAAUGUUGUCUCUUAUUAUACUAGGGAUUUCAUUAUCUGAUUUAACCUUAAUAGGAAACAGUGAAAAUAGAAAACAAUAAUAAGAUGUUUAAACUUUUGAAAACAGGAAAUAAAACCAAUUUAUCCCUUUAUUUCCCAUCUAGUGUAGUUUUCCGGGUAUGUGGGUGGAAAUGCUAGUGACUAGUGGUUAUCUUGGUGGGUGUGCUCUAGAAUGUACAUUGGCAUUGGUUUUUUAGUACCUAAUACCUAUGGAUCACAAAUUUGAAUUUGGGAUGUACUCUGUUCUCCACCCAUUUCUGGUCCGUCUUAUGUCUCUCACGUGCCAUUUCAGGUCCUUUCAAGGUUAAUGGAGUUCCUUUGAGACGUGUGAAUCAGGCCUAUGUUAUUGGCACAUCAACCAAAGUAGAUGUCUCUGCUGUUAAUGUCAACAACUUUGAUGACAAAUACUUUGCGAAGGAAGCCCAGAGGAAGAAGAAGAAGGGAGAAGGGGAGUUCUUUGAGGCAGAGAAGGAGGUGGGAUUAUCAGUUUUUUGAUUUUGUUGAUGUUCUACCUGUUAUUCUUACUUGCUUCUGCGUGCUGAUCUCUGCAUUCUUUUUUCCAAUGAUGCAGGAAAAGAGCGUGUUACCCCAGCAGAAGAAAGAUGACCAGAAAACAGUGGAUGCUGCAUUGUUAAAAGCCAUUGAGAGUGUGCCAGACUUGAAGUCUUAUUUGGGUGCCAGGUUUUCUCUAAAGGCUGGCGUGAAACCUCAUGAGCUAGUCUUCUAGAGGAAAGAAGGGUGUUACUCUUGUUUUUGAUAACCUGUUUGUUUAUUGGUGUUGAUCCUUAUAGUUGCACUCUUAUAACAUUCUUGUUAACAGACAAAUGAAGAACCUAAAAUUUUGUUAGGCAAUCGAUUGUGACGCGUGCUCUUUACAUUUUGUUGAUUGUGUGAAUUUUAGAUAUUGUGUGGACCUUUAGCACGCCAAAUGAAAAAAAUUGGAAACAGAUGUACAUGUGGUCAAGGAAAUCUUUCCAUAAUACAUUCAUAAAAUUUUAAGAUAUAGAUAUUAGAAGAAUCGACAAUGACUAGGAUGAAUCUUCCCGAGUAUUUUUUUUGGCUUUUUAAUAUACAAUAGCUACAUGUUUUGUUGCCCUUGGCUUCUGAAGUUAUAAUUUUCUGUUCACUUGUUUUUUUUUAGAGAAAAUUGACUUGCAGCAGUAAUUUAGCUUUUGGAAAAUUUUAAACACCUCAAUAUAAGUCAUAUUAUAAUCAUGUUUAAUUAUAUUCUUGUUUAGACUAAAUUUGAAAAAAUAAUCCUUUAUUUUUUGAAGUUCUUUUUGAAAAGCUGAUAAACGUGAAGUAUUACUUUUUCAUAAUAAAUUUAAUACGGAUUUUUUUAGAGAAAAGUUUAGGGUAGUGGCUGUGUCAGGACAUGCUUCAGGUCACCACGCAAUUAAUAUACACUAAUAAUAGUAUUAAAAAAAAUGAAAACUUUUCCUUCUUAAAUUUGGAUGAAAUUUACACUUUCAAAGGUAAAGAAUAAUAUAUUAUUUUUAAAGUUUAAUGCCUAUGUAUCAUUCAAUUAUAUUAUAAAUUAUUAUUUGAAUUAUUUUAAAAUGAUUAUUUUAAAAGUGAAAAAAAUUAUUAUAUAAUGAACUAUGAUUGAAUGAUUGUAUAAUUUUUUUCGUGAGAAAUAAAGGAUAACAUAAGAUGUAAGGUUCGAUGAGAUAAUGAUCCAAGCUCAGCAAAUUAGUUGCCUUGGCGAUAAAAAUGUUGAAAGGAGAGGUUCUAUUUACGAGCUUUGAAGUUGCUGGUCCUUCGAAUAAGGGUGGUAUGCAGUGCCGUUCACGUCCAACAAUUGCAAAACAAUAAGAGAAUCUGAGUCACAUAUAAGUAUUAGUUGACGAAAACCAGCGUCCCAAGCUAUUUGAAGACCGUGCAUGAAACUCAGCAUUUACAUUUGUGAUAAAACCGCCAGAACCUUUGAAACCAAGAUGUCAUUGGUCAGGAUCAUCUCUGAGGAGGCCUCCGGAUAAAAAUUAAAUAUCAUAUUAGAAAUUUAUAAUACUCAUAUAUUCUGCUGAAUAUUUAUGUGAGCCAAAGAGGAAAAAAAACAGUUUUUCAUUCAUAGGUACAAGAUUCAAUCCUGUUCUAAUAGGAAAUAAUGCACAAUAAAACUAACUCUCACAUCUAACAAACAAAAGAAAAAAAAUAACUUACUUAUUACUUAUAGAAAAUAAAAUCAUUUAAAUAGUUUGAUGGCACGUGUCAAUUUAUACAAAUUAAAUUUUAAUUAGUAAAAUGAAGACUGGUAUACUAAAAAAAAUUAUGGACACAUUAGUCUGGGCUUGGAGCAUGGAUCCUUUGAGUCAGGUCAAGGCCCGUUAGAUUUUAUACAGAACAGGUAUCUAUAUGUCUGAUUUUCAUUUGCGCAUUAAACGAGAAUUAGGGUUUGUAGUGCAGCAGGAAGAAGCAAUAAUGGCGCCGAAGAUAACACGUAAGGUUAGCAGAAACCCCGAAUUGAUAAGGGGAAUCGGAAAGUACUCGAGGUCUCAAAUGUACCACAAGAGGGGCAUUUGGGCUAUCAAGGCCAAAAACGGUGGCGUUUUACCUCGCCACGGCCCUAAACCCAAACCUGAAACUCCCGCUGAAAAACCACCCAAAUUUUACCCUGCUGACGAUGUCAAGAAACCCCUUGUCAACAAGCACAAACCCAAACCCGCGAAGCUCAGGUUCAUUUUCACUUCAUUCUUAUUUGUUUUGACUUAUUUUAUGGUGAUGCUAGUAAAUAAAUUGGGGAUCUGGAAAUGUAGGUUAUCGCUAAUUGCUGAUUGCUGAUUGCUAAUUAAUAAAAUGAAUGAGUUUUUUUUUCUUAAUAAAAUUGCUUUGGUUUAAUGAUGUUUUAUUUAUAUAUGGAGCUCAUGGAGUGUGAUUUUGUGUUGGGUGUGUGUUCAGG
RNAcentral lists this long non-coding RNA (3892 nucleotides) under Glycine max (soybean). RNAcentral's name for it is "long non-coding RNA (GMAX_LNC001701)". The record is from RNAcentral. Lineage: Eukaryota; Viridiplantae; Streptophyta; Magnoliopsida; Fabales; Fabaceae.